GCCAUAAAAGUUUAGGUCAAACAACCAGUCUUGUAAACUGGCAAAGGGGGUUUAACUCCUCCUUAUGGUU
Molecule: transfer RNA, 70 nt
Filed under: Thelenota ananas
Lineage: Eukaryota; Metazoa; Echinodermata; Holothuroidea; Aspidochirotida; Stichopodidae
Description: tRNA-Thr
Rfam family: tRNA
About the family: Transfer RNA (tRNA) molecules are approximately 80 nucleotides in length. Their secondary structure includes four short double-helical elements and three loops (D, anti-codon, and T loops).
Source: RNAcentral